Long non-coding RNA from Bufo bufo (common toad), 230 nucleotides. RefSeq lists it as uncharacterized. Lineage: Eukaryota; Metazoa; Chordata; Amphibia; Anura; Bufonidae. The record is from RefSeq and is a predicted model, not a curated record. The transcript is spliced from 3 exons.
GGAAUUUCAUGCAUCGCCCAUUGGAGGACAUUCCGGGAUCAACAGAACACGAUCAGCCAUCAGCUCGCGAUUCUUCUGGCAUGGAAUGCAUGUUGAUAUUUCUAAAUGGAUCCAGGAAUGCCCUCAAUGCCAGAAGUCUGGAAAACCAAUCGCUGCUCCACAGCCGUUACAGUGUAUUAAGGUAUCCGCUGUCUGGGAGCUUGUCGGGAUCGACCUAACUGGUCCUCUUC